RNAcentral lists this ribosomal RNA (929 nucleotides) under uncultured bacterium. RNAcentral describes it as "bacterial SSU rRNA". It matches the Rfam family "Bacterial small subunit ribosomal RNA", at positions 8 to 916 of the family's 1533-position model. The record is from RNAcentral.
AGAGUUUGAUCAUGGCUCAGGACGAACGCAGGCGGCGUGCUAAUACAUGCAAGUCGAGCGGGGUUAUAAGGGAAGCUUGCUUUUCUUAUGACCUAGCGGCGAACGGGUGAGUAACACGUAGGCAACCUGCCCAUAAGACCGGGAUAACAUUCGGAAACGGAUGCUAAGACCGGAUAGGCAGCCCUGUCGCAUGAUGGGGCUGGGAAACACGGUGCAAGCUGUGGCUUAUGGAUGGGCCUGCGGCGCAUUAGCUAGUUGGCGGGGUAACGGCCCACCAAGGCGACGAUGCGUAGCCGACCUGAGAGGGUGACCGGCCACACUGGGACUGAGACACGGCCCAGACUCCUGCGGGAGGCAGCAGUAGGGAAUCUUCCACAAUGGGCGCAAGCCUGAUGGAGCAACGCCGCGUGAGUGAGGAAGGCCUUCGGGUCGUAAAGCUCUGUUGCCAGGGAAGAAGAGCGGGGAGAGUAACUGCUCCCUGGCUGACGGUACCUGAGAAGAAAGCCCCGGCUAACUACGUGCCAGCAGCCGCGGUAAUACGUAGGGGGCGAGCGUUGUCCGGAAUUAUUGGGCGUAAAGCGCGCGCAGGCGGUUCUUUAAGUCUGGUGUUUAAGAGCGGGGCUCAACCCUGCUACGCACUGGAAACUGGAGGACUUGAGUGCAGUAGAGGGAAGCGGAAUUCCACGUGUAGCGGUGAAAUGCGUAGAGAUGUGGAGGAACACCAGUGGCGAAGGCGGCUUUCUGGGCUGUAACUGACGCUGAGGCGCGAAAGCGUGGGGAGCAAACAGGAUUAGAUACCCUGGUAGUCCACGCCGUAAACGAUGAGUGCUAGGUGUCGGUGGGGUCCACCUGCCGGUGCCGAAGUUAACACAUUAAGCACUCCGCCUGGGGAGUACGGUCGCAAGACUGAAACUCAAAGGAAUUGACGG